This 332-nucleotide long non-coding RNA is filed under the name Malus domestica (apple). Its description in RNAcentral is "long non-coding RNA (MDOM_LNC014993)". Lineage: Eukaryota; Viridiplantae; Streptophyta; Magnoliopsida; Rosales; Rosaceae. The record is from RNAcentral.
CAUGAAUGUUCUUCAUUGUUCUUGACAUUUUUGCCAAGAACAAAAAGGUUUGUGUUUUGAUUCAAAGUUUUGGUUAAUUUCAUAAAGUCUUUGUUUUGUGUUGGUUGAUGUGAAUUUUCUAUCACCAAAACAUUUAUUUUGAAAGGUGAUAGAAAUUGUGAUGGGUGUGUAAGACUUACACACCUUACACACCACAUGCAUGGUUUUAUGAUUCACAACAACCAAAAACCACUUGCAAGGCUUUAUGAAAUUGUUGAAAAAAAUUUCCAAAUUUUUGUGGACUUAUCUCCACUCCCUUUCCCUCUCUAAAAACCGGCCCUCCCUCAAUGGGA